Molecule: ribosomal RNA, 746 nt
Filed under: Salmonella enterica
Lineage: Bacteria; Pseudomonadati; Pseudomonadota; Gammaproteobacteria; Enterobacterales; Enterobacteriaceae
Also listed under: 1 other name
Description: partial 23S ribosomal RNA
Rfam family: Bacterial large subunit ribosomal RNA
Source: RNAcentral
GGUUAAGCGACUAAGCGUACACGGUGGAUGCCCUGGCAGUCAGAGGCGAUGAAGGACGUGCUAAUCUGCGAUAAGCGCCGGUAAGGUGAUAUGAACCGUUAUAACCGGCGAUUUCCGAAUGGGGAAACCCAGUGUGACUCGUCACACUAUCAUUAACUGAAUCCAUAGGUUAAUGAGGCGAACCGGGGGAACUGAAACAUCUAAGUACCCCGAGGAAAAGAAAUCAACCGAGAUUCCCCCAGUAGCGGCGAGCGAACGGGGAGGAGCCCAGAGCCUGAAUCAGCAUGUGUGUUAGUGGAAGCGUCUGGAAAGGCGCGCGAUACAGGGUGACAGCCCCGUACACAAAAGCGCAUAUGCUGUGAGCUCGAUGAGUAGGGCGGGACACGUGGUAUCCUGUCUGAAUAUGGGGGGACCAUCCUCCAAGGCUAAAUACUCCUGACUGACCGAUAGUGAACCAGUACCGUGAGGGAAAGGCGAAAAGAACCCCGGCGAGGGGAGUGAAAAAGAACCUGAAACCGUGUACGUACAAGCAGUGGGAGCCCCACCACUAAGCCAGUGGUGAACUCCACAUACGCAUCCUUUGCUGAGGAUACGGUUAACGGAGCGAAAGCGACGUUCAACCGCAAAAGAAGCAGAGGGGGCUUAGUGGUGGGGUGACUGCGUACCUUUUGUAUAAUGGGUCAGCGACUUAUAUUCUGUAGCAAGGUUAACCGAAUAGGGGAGCCGGAGGGAAACCGAGUCUUAAC